Molecule: ribosomal RNA, 404 nt
Filed under: uncultured bacterium
Lineage: Bacteria
Description: bacterial SSU rRNA
Rfam family: Bacterial small subunit ribosomal RNA
Source: RNAcentral
GAUGAACGCUGGCGGCGUGCUUAACACAUGCAAGUCGAACGAAGCACUCAUGACAGAUUCUUCGGAUGAUGGAUUGAUUGACUGAGUGGCGGACGGGUGAGUAACGCGUGGGUAACCUGCCUCAUACAGGGGGAUAACAGUUAGAAAUGACUGCUAAUACCGCAUAAGCGCACAGUACCGCAUGGUACGGUGUGAAAAACUCCGGUGGUAUGAGAUGGACCCGCGUCUGAUUAGCUAGUUGGUGGGUAACGGCCUACCAAGGCGACGAUCAGUAGCCGGCCUGAGAGGGUGAACGGCCACAUUGGGACUGAGACACGGGCCCAAAACUCCUACGGGAGGCAGCAGUGGGGAAUAUUGCACAAUGGGGGAAACCCUGAUGCAGCGACGCCGCGUGAGCGAUGAAG